This 302-nucleotide ribosomal RNA is filed under the name uncultured bacterium. Its description in RNAcentral is "partial 16S ribosomal RNA". It matches the Rfam family "Bacterial small subunit ribosomal RNA", at positions 508 to 807 of the family's 1533-position model. The record is from RNAcentral.
GCAGCCGCCGCGGUAAUACGAAGGGGGCUAGCGUUGCUCGGAAUUACUGGGCGUAAAGGGAGCGUAGGCGGAUCGUUAAGUUGGGGGUGAAAGCCCGGGGCUCAACCUCGGAACUGCCUUCAAUACUGGCGACCUUGAGUAUGAGAGAGGUGUGUGGAACUCCGAGUGUAGAGGUGAAAUUCGUAGAUAUUCGGAAGAACACCAGUGGCGAAGGCGACACACUGGCUCAUUACUGACGCUGAGGCUCGAAAGCGUGGGGAGCAAACAGGAUUAGAUACCCCUGUAGUCCCUGUCUCUUAUAC